Molecule: long non-coding RNA, 1213 nt
Filed under: Homo sapiens (human)
Lineage: Eukaryota; Metazoa; Chordata; Mammalia; Primates; Hominidae
Description: non-protein coding lnc-BOC-3:2
Source: RNAcentral
AUGAGAAGGGACACUGAAUGCUAGUCUGGCAAGCCAAAAUAUGAAAGCAAUCUAGAUCCUUGAUGGGUCCCAGCAAACACUGCACACCUCUGAACUGUCACUCAGUCAACAUGUAUACUCCUUGACUGAGCAGUGUUUGAGUGGGCACCAAGCUUAGACAUGUGUGUAGGGAGGCAAUUAUAACUAGUUACAGCCAUCCUGCCUCUUCUGUCCUCCUCUCUUCCCCAGCCUUAGCCCCCCAGCCUCAUGGGGCCCAGAGUCCUCCUUCAGAUGAGGCCAGUGUCCCAGGCAACUACCUGACGUGGGAAAAGCUGCCGUCCUAGAGAUCAGAAAGAACCCACCAGUCAGGAACAGCAAUUCUGAUGAUGUCAGCUUCUAAGUUUUCAGAAGCGACAGCCUCUGGUGUUCUUACAGCAUCAGAAGAGCAGAAAAGCUGGCCACUUAUGAACCCACACAUUGUUACAGAGCAUCUCGGCUUUCUGCCAAGGAGCACCACUCAGGCUUUAAAGAUUUGUCCUUUGAUUUUACUUUUUAGGGCAUCUUGAGACAAUGUUCUGCCUACACAAAAUUCUAAACUGAGAGGAGUGGCUCAGAAGCUCUACUAACAUGGAAUCACAUGUGGGCACCUGCACAUGGCUUAGAAUCAUUUACACACAGAAACACAGGAUUGGAAAAGAUUUCAGAAAUGAUCUUACCCAACUGCCAGCUUAAUGCACAGCUCUCCACUGCAUCCCUGACUGGGGCUCUUCUGUCCUCUGCUUCAUCACUUCCCAGGCUGGAGACAACAGGGCAGUGAGACCCGUUACUGGUGGAGAAUGGCCCCCAUCUUGCAGAGAGGAAAUAUCUUACUCCCACCCACAGAUCCUAGCCCCAGAUCUAUGGCAUUUAAGAUAAGCUUUAAGAACUCAUCUCACAGGAAAUAAAAGAAGAAUUGGAGGGUUUUUUUUGUUUUUUGUUUUUUGGGUUUUUUUGGUCUUUUUUUGUUAUUUUGUUUUGAAGACCUCUUUCAGUUUAUUGGGUUGCAGGAGGCUGGAGACUAUCCCAGCAGCACAUGGCACAAAGCAAGAACCAGCCCCGGACAGGACGCCAUUCCAUCACAGGUGCACUCACACCCACCAGCACUCACUCAGACUGGGCCCAUUUAGACACACCGAUUCAUCCAACAUGCAUAUCUCUGGGGUGUGGAAGGAAACUGGAUUACCUGGUGAAAACC